CUUUCUGUUGAUCUAAUUUGGGGUGAAUUUGUUGAAUUUUGGUUGAAUUGGAAUGUGGGUUUAAUUGUGUUGAUUUUUUGUUUAACUUCUAGAGUAGGUGGAUUCAAAAUUAAGAAAUAGUAAGUGGUUGUAGUUAAAUCAUAUAAAAGAUGUGUAUGAUUUUCAUGUUGCAUGUGAGAUGUUAAAAUACAGUAAAUCAUAUUCUAGUCUUGCUGUUAAAAAGUUGUUUUGUUGGUGUAUUUACACCCUUUUUGGUUGUGGAUCAGCGGGUCCAGCUCAAGAUACAGAUAAAAGGAUACAAGCUCUUAAAAAAAGGUAUAAUUUAUUAGACCUUUUGGCAGGUAUAAUUUAUUAACGCUUUUGGCAGGUAUAAUUCAUUUUUUAUUCCAAUUCGCAAUUACUUCGUUUGUUAAAUUUAAGCUUGAUUAUUUUAGUAAAUUUUUAUACCUUAUGUCCAAAUACAUAUACAAUACUGUAUAUGUAUAGUUUUCAUAAUGUUGCUGAGCAUUUUGAAUAUGCAUUUUUUGUGUGGAGAGUGAAGAAUGUACUGUUCACGAAGGCAAAACAGGGAACAACUACUACUUCAUAUGGGAAGAAGAGGUUGAAGUCACUGGUUUUAUUAAUGCUGGUGACCGAAAUCAAUCCAAGUUAAUGUCAAAACGAUUUCACUAUUUUUUGUUACGGUGAGGACUAAGAACCUACAAUAUUUUCUUUAUAUCUCUCAUUUUUUAAAUUAAGAAAUUUACUUUUUUAUACCACUUUUGUGAUCAUUUCUUAAGAAUUUGUUAAUUGUUUUAAUAUGUAAUGAGGUAGGAUUUCUACGUUCAUUUCUCAUCUUUACAGA
This is a long non-coding RNA of Pyrus x bretschneideri (Chinese white pear), 844 nucleotides long. RefSeq lists it as uncharacterized. The transcript is spliced from 2 exons. The record is from RefSeq and is a predicted model, not a curated record. NCBI's taxonomy places the organism in Eukaryota, Viridiplantae, Streptophyta, Magnoliopsida, Rosales, Rosaceae.